UGAAAGAACAUGUCAUCUGCAACUGCUAGGAGAUGAGCAGCUUUCCUCUACCAGCCCCAUCCACCAUGCAUUUCUUCCUUGGAGCCACUGAUUUCAGACUGAAGCUGCUGGAAACUUUGGCACUCACUGCUCUGGAUUCCAGUGAUUCAUUUUUAUGGCUAAAUAAAUGAGGAAGCCAUCUUGUUUUCCACAUCACUGGCUCCAGCAUGCUAUAGAAGAUCACCAUGACAACAGGAGCUGGUUUGCCUGGUGUGAAGACAACAGUGUAGGCCCCAUUUCCUAAAUGCAUGUUUCUACAAAAGUUGAAUCACCAAUUAAAAGACUCUUUUCUAUCCUGGGGGCUUCAGAAAUGCAAAUGGUGUUGGGGAGACAGGCUGGUCAGCUGCUACACCUAGUAACUCCUUCUGAC
Molecule: long non-coding RNA, 409 nt
Organism: Heterocephalus glaber (naked mole-rat)
Lineage: Eukaryota; Metazoa; Chordata; Mammalia; Rodentia; Bathyergidae
Source: Ensembl